ACUCUCUCUCUCUCUGUCUGCAAAUGGAACAGGGGAACCACUACAAGAAGGGUCUGUAGACAGUGGAGGAAGACAAGAUUCUGAUAGAUUAUAUAGGAGUGCAUGGGAAAGGGAGGUGGAAUCGCAUAGCCAAGGUCACAGGUUUCAAGAGGAGUGGAAAGAGUUGCAGGUUAAGAUGGAUGAAUUACCUUAGCCCCAAUGU
This is a long non-coding RNA of Telopea speciosissima, 202 nucleotides long. RefSeq lists it as uncharacterized. NCBI's taxonomy places the organism in Eukaryota, Viridiplantae, Streptophyta, Magnoliopsida, Proteales, Proteaceae. The transcript is spliced from 3 exons. The record is from RefSeq and is a predicted model, not a curated record.